AAAAAGUUGAACAUCCCAACCUUGGACUUGAAAGUGUUUGAUGACUCAAAGACAGAAGUUGAUGAGCAGGUUUUUGAUCUCCUGUUGAAAACCCAAACCUUGGUGUGUUGGAAAUUUGUCUGGCCUAAGAUACAAAUCCAGAAGGUGAAGUUCUUCUUUUAAAUUGUAAUUUAUCUAUUCUGUUUUGAACGGUUUUGGGUAAAUUCCCCUUUGAUGCCUGAAUUUAUUUCCAAGGGAAAUAAUCUGAGUUUUUGCUUUCAAGUACAUGCUAAAUUAAGAACAUUUUUGAGCUGAAGAGUUAUGAUUGUAUAUUUGCAUCAAUAGGAGUCUGAGGGUUAAUGAUUUCUUUGACAGGAUAGUGUGGGGAACAAAAGACGGGCAAAUAAGUAUGAGUUUUUUAUCCUAUUGCUGUCUUAGACAAGAUAAUAAAUCUGCUAAACUGUUAAGUCGGUCAGUAUUUAAAAAUCUUUGUUUUUACUUUUUUUGUUUUUGCUAUCAUACUAAUUUAAAUAUUACAGUAACUGAAAGCUUUAAUACUUUGACAGAUCAGCUGAGUUGUCUUGCAUAGAGCUGCAAUACCAGUUCAAGUGGAGAUACUGAAGUGGACUCAGAUGACACCAUAAUAUUACAACACAGUCCUACAACAAGACAAAGACUUGAAGACACCUCUCUUGCCAAAGUGGUUGCUGUCAUUGGUGAGGAUGCAUCAUCCGUUGAAGGUCAUGUGAAUGUCCUGCAUAUCCAGUACAGCAAAGUGCGAGAGGAUAUACUAAAGAAUUACCCUUUCUUGAAGACAACCUCAGGGUUGUUUGAUGAUGUUGACCGAAUGCAUCCAUCACCUGUCAGUUUAAGCCAGCGCUUCAAGGACGGCGUUUACCAGUAUUGUGCCAAAGGUGCUUGAGCUUGUUCAAAGAAAAGCUCCAUUAGCCAAAGUCUCCAAAGAAGCAAGAGAAGAGAUGCUUGCAGAGGAUCUACUAGGUAUUGACAUAAACGUAAUCCUUGGUAAUCUUUUGUGUUUAUAGUUCUUCUUUUUAGAAUUCGCAUCAAUAUUA
This is a non-coding RNA of Oryzias latipes (Japanese medaka), 1052 nucleotides long. The record is from RefSeq and is a predicted model, not a curated record. Lineage: Eukaryota; Metazoa; Chordata; Actinopteri; Beloniformes; Adrianichthyidae.